RNAcentral lists this ribosomal RNA (768 nucleotides) under uncultured bacterium. RNAcentral describes it as "bacterial SSU rRNA". It matches the Rfam family "Bacterial small subunit ribosomal RNA", at positions 28 to 776 of the family's 1533-position model. The record is from RNAcentral.
AUUGAACGCUGGCGGCAGGCCUAACACAUGCAAGUCGAGCGGCAGCGACUUAACUGAAUUUCGGGGAACGUUAAGGGCGGCGAGCGGCGGACGGGUGAGUAAUGCCUGGGGAUAUGCCCUGAUGUGGGGGAUAACUAUUGGAAACGAUAGCUAAUACCGCAUAAUCUCUUCGGAGCAAAGAGGGGGACCUUCGGGCCUCUCGCGUCAGGAUUAGCCCAGGUGGGAUUAGCUUGUUGGUGAGGUAAUGGCUCACCAAGGCUACGAUCCCUAGCUGGUCUGAGAGGAUGAUCAGCCACACUGGAACUGAGACACGGUCCAGACUCCUACGGGAGGCAGCAGUGGGGAAUAUUGCACAAUGGGGGAAACCCUGAUGCAGCCAUGCCGCGUGUGUGAAGAAGGCCUUCGGGUUGUAAAGCACUUUCAGUAGGGAGGAAGGUAGUGUAGUUAACACCUGCAUUAUUUGACGUUACCUACAGAAGAAGCACCGGCUAACUCCGUGCCAGCAGCCGCGGUAAUACGGAGGGUGCGAGCGUUAAUCGGAAUUACUGGGCGUAAAGCGCAUGCAGGCGGCCUGUUAAGUCAGAUGUGAAAGCCCGGGGCUUAACCUCGGAAUUGCAUUUGAAACUGGCAGGCUAGAGUCUUGUAGAGGGGGGUAGAAUUUCAGGUGUAGCGGUGAAAUGCGUAGAGAUCUGAAGGAAUACCAGUGGCGAAGGCGGCCCCCUGGACAAAAACUGACGCUCAGAUGCGAAAGCGUGGGGAGCAAACAGG